This 343-nucleotide unclassified non-coding RNA is filed under the name soil metagenome. Its description in RNAcentral is "partial contains 5.8S ribosomal RNA, internal transcribed spacer 2, and large subunit ribosomal RNA". The stretch from base 1 to 120 matches the Rfam family "5.8S ribosomal RNA", at positions 35 to 154 of the family's 154-position model. The record is from RNAcentral.
GAUGAAGAACGUAGCGAAAUGCGAUAAGUAAUGUGAAUUGCAGAAUUCAGUGAAUCAUCGAAUCUUUGAACGCACAUUGCGCCCGCUAGUAUUCUGGCGGGCAUGCCUGUCCGAGCGUCAUUUCAACCCUCAAGCCCCCGGGCUUGGUGUUGGGGAUCGGUGAGCCUCCGCGCCCGCCGUCCCCUAAAUCUAGUGGCGGUCUCGCUGUAGCUUCCUCUGCGUAGUAGCACACCUCGCACUGGGAAACAGCGCGGCCACGCCGUUAAACCCCCAACUUCUGAACGUUUGACCUCGGAUCAGGUAGGAAUACCCGCUGAACUUAAGCAUAUCAAUAAGCGGAGGA